This 234-nucleotide unclassified non-coding RNA is filed under the name Hevea brasiliensis (rubber tree). Lineage: Eukaryota; Viridiplantae; Streptophyta; Magnoliopsida; Malpighiales; Euphorbiaceae. The record is from RNAcentral.
AUCUUGUGUGGUGGUUCUUUUGUGCAACAAUGACAGUGAACUUUGGAGACCAAGUUUCUUCCAGAUGAUUACAGGCCUCGAUAAUCUGAUUGAGCUCAAUGUUUAUGACUUGGUUGAACUGGGACUCACUUACUCCAUCUCUGAAGAUGAUGAUAUGCUCAGGUUUCACAUUUUUAGAACUAACGUAGAAGUCCCUGAGCAGCUCCCUGAAAAGGCCCUCAUCUACGGUAUCUG